RNAcentral lists this Y RNA (112 nucleotides) under Cavia aperea (Brazilian guinea pig). Its description in RNAcentral is "Y RNA (ENSCAPG00000002750.1)". It matches the Rfam family "Y RNA". From Rfam's summary of the family: Y RNAs are components of the Ro ribonucleoprotein particle (Ro RNP), in association with Ro60 and La proteins. The Y RNAs and Ro60 and La proteins are well conserved, but the function of the Ro RNP is not known. In humans the RNA component can be one of four small RNAs -- hY1, hY3, hY4 and hY5. The record is from RNAcentral. Lineage: Eukaryota; Metazoa; Chordata; Mammalia; Rodentia; Caviidae.
GGCUGGUCCGAAGGUGGUGAGUUAUCUCAACUGAUUGUUCACAGUCAGAACAGACUGAACUCCUGGUUCUGCUCUUUCCCCCCUUCUCACUACUGCACUUGACUAGUCUUAA